GCGUAUCGAGAGAUACUCUUGAGCGACUGGAAAAGCUAAUGUCGGUAUAAGUAACGAUAAACUGACCGAGAAACCCUGCCGCCGGAAGACUGAGGAUUCCUGAUCAACGUUAAUCGGAUCAGGGUUAGUCGGGGCCUAAGGAUAAGCCGAAAGGCGAUUCCGAUGGAAGAAACUGUUAAUAUUCAGUUACUGGCAUACACACUGAUGUGGGGACGGAGGAAUGAAAGUUCUGCCAACUGACGGAAUAGUUGGUUAAAGGGUGUAGAUGUAGAUAGUGUAGGCAAAUCCGCACUAGAGUCGAACCUGAAAGUACCGCGAGGGCUUGCCUGAGUGGAAAUGAACGUAAGUAGACUCCCAAGAAAAUCCGCUAAAGAUAUGUGUAUGGCACCCGUACCACAAACGGACACACGUGGUCACGUAUAGAGUACUAAGGCGCUCGAGAGAUUCACAGCUAAGGAACUAGGCAAAAUAGCCCCGUAACUUCGGGAUAAGGGGCGCUCUCUGAAAGAUGGGAGCCGCAGAGAAAUGGCUCAAGCGACUGUUUAACAAAAACACAGGGCUAUGCGAAAUCGAAAGAUGAGAUAUAUGGCCUGACACCUGCCCGGUGCUGGAAGGUUAAGAGGAGAUGUCAACCGCAAGGCGAAGCAUUGAAUUGAAGCCCCAGUAAACGGCGGCCGUAACUAUAACGGUCCUAAGGUAGCGAAAUUCCUUGUCGGGUAAGUUCCGACCUGCACGAAUGGCGUAACGAUAUGGGCGCUGUCUCAACAAGGGACUCGGUGAAAUUGUAGGGCUGGUAAAGAUGCCAGCGACCCGCGACUAGACGGAAAGACCCCGUAGAGCUUUACUGUAGUUUGGUAUUGAGUUUUGACAUGAGAUGUACAGGAUAGGUGGGAGGCUAUGAAGAGAGGACGCCAGUUUUCUCGGAGCCGCUGUUGGGAUACCACCCUUGCGAUAUUGGAUUUCUAACCUGCGGCCGUAAACCGGUCGGGGGACAAUGCCAGAUGGGGAGUUUGACUGGGGCGGUCGCCUCCGAAAGGGUAUCGGAGGCGCUCAAAGGUUCCCUCAGGAUGGUCGGAAACCAUCCGAAGAGUGCAAAGGCAGAAGGGAGCCUGACUGCGACACCGACGGGUGGAGCAGGUACGAAAGUAGGGCUUAGUGAUCCGGUGGUAUUAAGUGGGAAUGCCAUCGCUCAACGGAUAAAAGCUACCCUGGGUAUAACAGGCUGAUCCCUCCCAAGAGUUCACAUCGACGGAGUGGUUUGGCGCCUCGAUGUCGGCUCAUCGCAUCCUGGGGCUGUAGUAGGUCCCAAGGGUUGGGC
This 1318-nucleotide ribosomal RNA is filed under the name gut metagenome. Its description in RNAcentral is "bacterial LSU rRNA". It matches the Rfam family "Bacterial large subunit ribosomal RNA", at positions 1256 to 2577 of the family's 2925-position model. The record is from RNAcentral.